UGGGGAAUAUUGCACAAUGGGGGAAACCCUGAUGCAGCAACGCCGCGUGAAGGAAGACGGUUUUCGGAUUGUAAACUUCUGUUCUUAGUGAAGAAUAAUGACGGUAGCUAAGGAGCAAGCCACGGCUAACUACGUGCCAGCAGCCGCGAUAAUACGUAGGUGGCAAGCGUUGUCCGGAAUUACUGGGUGUAAAGGGAGCGCAGGCGGGAGACCAAGUCAGCUGUGAAAACUACGGGCUUAACCUGUAGACUGCAGUUGAAACUGGUUUUCUUGAGUGAAGUAGAGGUUGGCGGAAUUCCGAGUGUAGCGGUGAAAUGCGUAGAUAUUCGGAGGAACACCGGUGGCGAAGGCGGCCAACUGGGCUUUAACUGACGCUGAGGCUCGAAAGUGUGGGGAGCAAACAGGAUUAGAUACCC
RNAcentral lists this ribosomal RNA (416 nucleotides) under uncultured bacterium. Its description in RNAcentral is "bacterial SSU rRNA". It matches the Rfam family "Bacterial small subunit ribosomal RNA", at positions 355 to 787 of the family's 1533-position model. The record is from RNAcentral.